CCACAUCACCUACCUCCUGAUAAAUCUGUAUGCAGGUCAAGAAGCAACAUUUAGAACCAGACAUAGAACAAUGGACUAGUUCCGAAUUGGUAAAGGAGUAGGUCAAGUGUUUGUAAUUGUCACCUUGCUUAUUUAACUUAGGUGCAGAGUACAUCAUGCAAAAUGCUUGACUGGAUAAGACGCAAGUUGGAUCAAGAUUUGAGGGAGAAAUAUCAGUAAUUUCAGAUAUACACAUA
Cervus elaphus (red deer) is the source of this 236-nucleotide long non-coding RNA. RefSeq lists it as uncharacterized. The transcript has 3 exons. NCBI's taxonomy places the organism in Eukaryota, Metazoa, Chordata, Mammalia, Artiodactyla, Cervidae. The record is from RefSeq and is a predicted model, not a curated record.